UAUCUGUAAUUUACACAUGGGCAGAUGAGGCCCAGAGAUUAAGUAACUUGCCCAGGGUCACAUGGGAAGCCUAUGCCAGAAAUGGAACAUGAGAUCUCACAAGUCCCAGUCUAGGUGAUAAUUCUCUUCUUGAAGAAGCCAAACAUUAUUACAGUGGUUUGACAGCCUUCAGCUAGUGGAACCAUGAUGGCACUGCUGCUUUCGGGACCUUGUACAUCCAACAAAGGAUGGAAGAACUGGCUCCUUGUUGAUAAAAUUCAAAGCACCUGAGUCAAGGAAAAUGUGCAGCGCCUUCUGGUUGUGGAAAAACAGCUUGCAGAUGACAAACAAAGACACUUGGUUGAUAUUCAUGAAAGACCCCAUGGACUUAAAGUCAUCAGGCCCUACAAAGUUGUUGUGACAGGGUUUCUUUAGCACGUUCUUGUUUAAAUUAUCACGUAUUUGAGAUGUUUUUAACUUGCUUUGCUGUGUGGAAAUUUAAAAGGGAUGUUUUUCCAGGCUGGAACAAUAAAUGUUGCUGUGCUGUUUUAAAAAAAAAUAAAAAGAAAGUGUGAGACUUCCACCCAGGAUAGCUAGACAAGAGUCUGGCAGCUCUCCUCAUGUGGGCUAGUGUGGAUGCUAAUUGUGAGUUGGUUGGCUGUCACUCAGGAAUUGCUUUCAGUCGAGUGAUCCACUCUGAGCCAUUGAUUCAGAAAGACAAGACCAACCCAGCUUCCCCCAAAGCAGUGCGAUUGGGGGCUGCCAUUGCUUUACCGCAGGGACAGAUAAUACUCAUUCUUCUCCAAGUCCAAGUACGUUGCAUGACUUGGAAAGUCGUGUGGUCUUGUUAAACAUUAGAGAAUCUGUUCCCCACCCCUUCCGCCCAAAGCUGGGCCUUGGUAAUGGCUACAGAAGGAUUGUGGGUAUCUUUCUGGAAGAGCCGUAACUGUGAACUGUCCCCAUUCACUUACAUUAGGGGUGGAUGUAUAUUUUAUUUCCUUGUAACAGAAGUACU
Molecule: long non-coding RNA, 994 nt
Organism: Mauremys reevesii (Reeves's turtle)
Lineage: Eukaryota; Metazoa; Chordata; Testudines; Geoemydidae
Exons: 3
Source: RefSeq, a predicted model, not a curated record